UAGGAACCUGUCAACAUGCCAGAAACUUCUGUUUGGGAGCAAAGGGUUAAUAAGUCCCCUCUCCUUGUGCACAGAAUCUGACCUUCAGUUCUAGCCCGUUCCCUGGUAACAUGAGAGAAGUGAAAAGUCAGCUGUGUUACUAGGCAACACUGCACUGGGCCUCUGGGAGGUCUGCAGGAACUCCUGAGCCCGUAGCUCUGGGCCCCCCUAGUGUGGCUGCAUGCCGCCUGCCAGAACCCGAAGCUGGGCUUGCUGAAUUGCUACCAGGGGUCCUUCCAACUGAAUCUGUAGCCAAGGAUGGCCUGUGGCUGCCCUAUCAGUACAACAAUGCUUAGCUGAAACUGAGAAGACUCGAGGUGACUGCUUUACAGCUUUCUCUGAUGACACGGGAGGCUGCUCAGCUGCAAAGGCACAACCAAGUGCACAACUGAACCUGCUGGGCACUGUGUAGAAAACAAACGUGAGACCACUCUGAGGUGGGGAGGGGAGAAGAUGGGCCUGCUGUGGGCCUCACCUGCAAGACCAAGAAAUGACAUGGCGUCCUCAGGAGUCACCAAUCUGGCUGACACCCUCAUCUCAGACUUCUGGCCUCCAGAACCGUGAGAUGAUAAAUUUGUUGGUCGAGCCACUAAGUGUGUGGUACUUUGUGAUGGCAUCCCUAGUAAACGAAUACACCCUUACGAAGAGGAUGACAAGACAGCUACAGAUUAGGAGACAAUAUCUGCAAACCACAUACCUGACAAAGAACUACUGUCUGGAAUAUAUAAUCUCAAAAAACUCAAAAGAAAGAAAGCAAACAACGCAAUUAGAAUCUAGGCAAAGACAUAGACACUUAACUGAAGAAAAUAAGCAGACGGCAAAUAAACAUGUGAAAAGACGUCCAAAAUCAUUAAUCAUAUGGUCUCAUUCAUUUGGGGAAUAUAAAAAUUAGUGAAAGGGAAUAAAGGGAAAGGAGAGAAAA
Canis lupus familiaris (dog) is the source of this 961-nucleotide long non-coding RNA. RefSeq lists it as uncharacterized. The transcript has 4 exons. NCBI's taxonomy places the organism in Eukaryota, Metazoa, Chordata, Mammalia, Carnivora, Canidae. The record is from RefSeq and is a predicted model, not a curated record.